GACGAACGCUGGCGGCGUGCUUAACACAUGCAAGUCGAACGGAAAGGCCCUGCUUUUGUGGGGUGCUCGAGUGGCGAACGGGUGAGUAACACGUGAGUAACCUGCCCUUGACUUUGGGAUAACUUCAGGAAACUGGGGCUAAUACCGGAUAGGAGCUCCUGCUGCAUGGUGGGGGUUGGAAAGUUUCGGCGGUUGGGGAUGGACUCGCGGCUUAUCAGCUUGUUGGUGGGGUAGUGGCUUACCAAGGCUUUGACGGGUAGCCGGCCUGAGAGGGUGACCGGCCACAUUGGGACUGAGAUACGGCCCAGACUCCUACGGGAGGCAGCAGUGGGGAAUAUUGCACAAUGGGCGGAAGCCUGAUGCAGCAACGCCGCGUGCGGGAUGACGGCCUUCGGGUUGUAAACCGCUUUCGCCUGUGACGAAGCGUGAGUGACGGUAAUGGGUAAAGAAGCACCGGCUAACUACGUGCCAGCAGCCGCGGUGAUACGUAGGGUGCGAGCGUUGUCCGGAUUUAUUGGGCGUAAAGGGCUCGUAGGUGGUUGAUCGCGUCGGAAGUGUAAUCUUGGGGCUUAACCCUGAGCGUGCUUUCGAUACGGGUUGACUUGAGGAAGGUAGGGGAGAAUGGAAUUCCUGGUGGAGCGGUGGAAUGCGCAGAUAUCAGGAGGAACACCAGUGGCGAAGGCGGUUCUCUGGGCCUUUCCUGACGCUGAGGAGCGAAAGCGUGGGGAGCGAACAGGCUUAGAUACCCUGGUAGUCCACGCUGUAAACGGUGGGUACUAGGUGUGGGGUCCAUUCCACGGGCUCCGUGCCGUAGCUAACGCUUUAAGUACCCCGCCUGGGGAGUACGGCCGCAAGGCUAAAACUCAAAGGAAUUGACGGGGCCCCGCACAAGCGGCGGAGCAUGCGGAUUAAUUCGAUGCAACGCGUAGAACCUUACCCGGGUUUGACAUGGAUCGGGAGCGCUCAGAGAUGGGUGUGCCUCUUUCGGGGUCGGUUCACAGGUGGUGCAUGGCUGUCGUCAGCUCGUGUCGUGAGAUGUUGGGUUAAGUCCCGCAACGAGCGCAACCCUUGUUCACUGUUGCCAGCACGUUAUGGUGGGGACUCAGUGGAGACCGCCGGGGUCAACUCGGAGGAAGGUGGGGAUGACGUCAAGUCAUCAUGCCCCUUAUGUCCAGGGCUUCACGCAUGCUACAAUGGCUGGUACAGAGAGUGGCGAGCCUGUGAGGGUGAGCGAAUCUCGGAAAGCCGGUCUCAGUUCGGAUUGGGGUCUGCAACUCGACCUCAUGAAGUCGGAGUCGCUAGUAAUCGCAGAUCAGCAACGCUGCGGUGAAUACGUCCCCGGGGCU
This 1346-nucleotide ribosomal RNA is filed under the name uncultured bacterium. RNAcentral's name for it is "bacterial SSU rRNA". It matches the Rfam family "Bacterial small subunit ribosomal RNA", at positions 28 to 1381 of the family's 1533-position model. The record is from RNAcentral.